Molecule: ribosomal RNA, 465 nt
Filed under: uncultured bacterium
Lineage: Bacteria
Description: partial 16S ribosomal RNA
Rfam family: Bacterial small subunit ribosomal RNA
Source: RNAcentral
CCUACGGGCGGCAGCAGUAGGGAAUCUUCCACAAUGGGCGAAAGCCUGAUGGAGCAACGCCGCGUGGGUGAAGAAGGUCCUCGGAUCGUAAAACCCUGUUGUUAGAGAAGAAAGUGCGUGAGAGUAACUGUUCACGUUUCGACGGUAUCUAUCCAGCAAGCCACGGCUAACUACGUGCCAGCAGCCGCGGUAAUACGUAGGUGGCAAGCGUUAUCCGGAUUUAUUGGGCGUAAAGGGAGCGCAGGCGGUCUUUUAAGCCAGAUGUGAAAGCCCUAGGCUUAACCCGGGGAGUGCAUUGGAAACUGGGAGACUUGAGUGCAGAAGAGGAGAGUGGAACUCCAUGUGUAGCGGUGAAAUGCGUAGAUAUAAGGAAGAACACCGGUGGCGAAGGCGGCUCUCUGGUCUGUAACUGACGCUGAGGUUCGAAAGCGUGGGGAGCAAACAGGAUUAGAUACCCUUGUAGUC